This 459-nucleotide ribosomal RNA is filed under the name uncultured bacterium. RNAcentral describes it as "partial 16S ribosomal RNA". It matches the Rfam family "Bacterial small subunit ribosomal RNA", at positions 338 to 795 of the family's 1533-position model. The record is from RNAcentral.
CCUACGGGAGACAGCAGUGAGGAAUAUUGGUCAAUGGGCGGGAGCCUGAACCAGCCAAGCCGCGUGAGGGAAGAAGGUACAGCGUAUCGUAAACCUCUUUUGUCAGGGAACAAAGGCGGGGACUAGUCCCCGGAUGAGGGUACCUGAAGAAAAAGCAUCGGCUAACUCCGUGCCAGCAGCCGCGGUAAUACGGAGGAUGCGAGCGUUAUCCGGAUUUAUUGGGUUAAAAGGGUGCGCAGGGGGCCUGUUAAGUCAGCGGGAAAAGCCCGGGGCUCAACCCCGGCGAGCCGUUGAAACUGGCGGGCUGGAGUUGGAGAGAGGUACGCGGAAUGCGCGGUGUAGCGGUGAAAUGCUUAGAUAUCGCGCAGAACCCCGGUUGCGAAGGCAGCGUACCGGCUCCACACUGACGCUGAGGCGCGAAAGCGUGGGUAUCGAACAGGAUUAGAUACCCCAGUAGUC